RNAcentral lists this ribosomal RNA (500 nucleotides) under uncultured Glomeromycotina. RNAcentral's name for it is "partial small subunit ribosomal RNA". It matches the Rfam family "Eukaryotic small subunit ribosomal RNA", at positions 591 to 1092 of the family's 1831-position model. The record is from RNAcentral. Lineage: Eukaryota; Fungi; Glomeromycota.
CCAAUAGCGUAUAUUAAAGUUGUUGCAGUUAAAAAGCUCGUAGUUGAAUUUCGGGGUCAGUAGGUUGGUCAUGCCUCUGGUAUGUACUGGUCUCACUGAUUCCUCCUUCCUGAUGAGCCGUAAUGCCAUUAAUUUGGUGUUGCGAGGAAUCUGGACUGUUACUUUGAAAAAAUUAGAGUGUUUAAAGCAGGCUAACGCUUGAAUACAUUAGCAUGGAAUAAUGAAAUAGGACGUUCGAUCUUAUUUUGUUGGUUUCUAAGAUUGACGUAAUGAUUAAUAGGGAUAGUUGGGGGCAUUAGUAUUCAAUUGUCAGAGGUGAAAUUCUUGGAUUUAUUGAAGACUAACUACCGCGAAAGCAUUUGCCAAGGAUGUUUUCAUUAAUCAAGAACGAAAGUUAGGGGAUCGAAGACGAUCAGAUACCGUCGUAGUCUUAACCAUAAACUAUGCCGACUAGGGAUCGGAUGAUGUUAAUUUUUUAAUGACUCAUUCGGCGCCUUACG